Molecule: ribosomal RNA, 468 nt
Filed under: uncultured bacterium
Lineage: Bacteria
Description: partial 16S ribosomal RNA
Rfam family: Bacterial small subunit ribosomal RNA
Source: RNAcentral
GACGAACGCUGGCGGCGUGCUUAACACAUGCAAGUCGAACGGAAAGGCCCUGCUUUUGUGGGGUGCUCGAGUGGCGAACGGGUGAGUAACACGUGAGUAACCUGCCCUUGACUUUGGGAUAACUUCAGGAAACUGGGGCUAAUACCGGAUAGGAGCUCCUGCUGCAUGGUGGGGGUUGGAAAGUUUCGGCGGUUGGGGAUGGACUCGCGGCUUAUCAGCUUGUUGGUGGGGUAGUGGCUUACCAAGGCUUUGACGGGUAGCCGGCCUGAGAGGGUGACCGGCCACAUUGGGACUGAGAUACGGCCCAGACUCCUACAGGAGGCAGCAGUGGGGAAUAUUGCACAAUGGGCGGAAGCCUGAUGCAGCAACGCCGCGUGCGGGAUGACGGCCUUCGGGUUGUAAACCGCUUUCGCCUGUGACGAAGCGUGAGUGACGGUAAUGGGGAAAGAAGCACCGGCUAACUACGUG